AGUGAACGCUGGCGGUAGGCCUAACACAUGCAAGUCGAACGGCAGCACAGUAAGAGCUUGCUCUUACGGGUGGCGAGUGGCGGACGGGUGAGGAAUACAUCGGAAUCUACUUUUUCGUUGGGGAUAACGUAGGGAAACUUACGCUAAUACCGCAUACGACCUACGGGUGAAAGCAGGGGAUCUUCGGACCUUGCGCGAUUGAAUGAGCCGAUGUCGGAUUAGCUAGUUGGCGGGGUAAAGGCCCACCAAGGCGACGAUCCGUAGCUGGUCUGAGAGGAUGAUCAGCCACACUGGAACUGAGACACGGUCCAGACUCCUACGGGAGGCAGCAGUGGGGAAUAUUGGACAAUGGGCGCAAGCCUGAUCCAGCCGUACCGCGUGGGUGAAGAAGGCCUUCGGGUUGUAAAGCCCUUUUGUUGGGAAAGAAAAGCAGCAGGUUAAUACCCCGCUGUUCUGACGGUACCCAAAGAAUAAGCACCGGCUAACUUCGUG
RNAcentral lists this ribosomal RNA (492 nucleotides) under uncultured bacterium. RNAcentral's name for it is "partial 16S ribosomal RNA". It matches the Rfam family "Bacterial small subunit ribosomal RNA", at positions 29 to 507 of the family's 1533-position model. The record is from RNAcentral.